This is a non-coding RNA of Acidobacteriales bacterium 13_2_20CM_55_8, 403 nucleotides long. The record is from Rfam. Lineage: Bacteria; Pseudomonadati; Acidobacteriota; Terriglobia; Terriglobales.
CAGCCGGACCGGACGGUCGCUCUCGCCGCGUCAAGUGGUGGGAGAGGAAAGUCCGAACUCCGCAGAGCAGUGUGCCGGAUAACGUCCGGGAAGCCGGGUUCAAGCCCGGUUGACGGAAAGUGCCACAGAAAACAUACCGCCUUGGUGGCAACAUCAGGGUAAGGGUGAAAAGGUGCGGUAAGAGCGCACCGCUGCCGCAGUAAUACGACAGGCAAGGCAAACCCCACACGGAGCAAGACCAAAUAGGGAGGGAGCCUCAAGUUCGCUUGAGCGCGUGCCGGCUCGGCGCGUUUCACCUCCGGGUAGGUCGCUUGAGCUUCGCAGCGAUGCGUGGCCCAGAGGAAUGACCGUCCUGUGGGAGCAAUCCCGCGGACAGAAUUCGGCUUAUAGGCCCGGCUGCCAU